UGUUGGUGGUUUGGAAGAGGGAUUCAUCAUUUCUGUUUCUGUUUCUUUUGCAGCUGGUGGGAUUUGUGUACGCCUGUUACGUUGUCAGUGUCUUUACAGAAGAAGAAGACAGCUGCCUGCAUAAAUGACAAGGAUCCAGUGACUGGAUAGGCGGGAAGCAUCCAUCCCCAUCCGAAACGCCAAAUGUUCGGCCGGGUACUGUUGGCAGCCAAGGAAUGGGAGAUGCCUUCCAGGCGAAAGAGCACGACGCCUCCAUGGGAUCCCUAUCCUCUACUUGGUGCUUCAGGCUUGCUGGCAUCUGCUCAGACAAUGCCUCAUUAGUGGAUUUCUAGGUUUUGUUAUGAAUGAAUGAGUAUUUCCUUCUUUCUCUCUCCUCCCCGCCCAAACCCUACCUUCACUCCGUUGGGAUUAUGAAGAGAACAUUUGGAAAAUGCAUAUUUGACUCUUUUCUUCCGUAUGACAAUGAAAUUGCAUCGCCUCUGGAUAUUUGGAGGCAUAAACUUUUGUUAUUAUCAGUGGACUACUUCUCACUCCCCUUUCAACCUCCUCACCUACCCUGAACCAUCUCAACUUUGUGGUUUCUAUUAAUGGACAAGCUGUUAAUUAAAAUUAUCUGUAUCUGGGA
Non-coding RNA from Thamnophis sirtalis, 625 nucleotides. NCBI's taxonomy places the organism in Eukaryota, Metazoa, Chordata, Lepidosauria, Squamata, Natricidae. The record is from RefSeq and is a predicted model, not a curated record.